CCUACGGGAGGCAGCAGUGGGGAAUUUUGGACAAUGGGCGCAAGCCUGAUCCAGCAAUGCCGCGUGCAGGAAGAAGGCCUUCGGGUUGUAAACUGCUUUUGUCAGGGAAGAAAUCCUCUAGGUUAAUACCCUUGGGGGAUGACGGUACCUGAAGAAUAAGCACCGGCUAACUACGUGCCAGCAGCCGCGGUAAUACGUAGGGUGCAAGCGUUAAUCGGAAUUACUGGGCGUAAAGCGUGCGCAGGCGGCUUUGCAAGACAGAUGUGAAAUCCCCGGGCUCAACCUGGGAACUGCAUUUGUGACUGCAAGGCUAGAGUACGGUAGAGGGGGAUGGAAUUCCGCGUGUAGCAGUGAAAUGCGUAGAUAUGCGGAGGAACACCAAUGGCGAAGGCAAUCCCCUGGACCUGUACUGACGCUCAUGCACGAAAGCGUGGGGAGCAAACAGGAUUAGAUACCCUGGUAGUCCACGCCCUAAACGAUGUCAACUGGUUGUUGGACGGCUUGCUGUUCAGUAACGAAGCUAACGCGUGAAGUUGACCGCCUGGGGAGUACGGCCGCAAGGUUGAAACUCAAAUGAAUUGACGG
This 585-nucleotide ribosomal RNA is filed under the name uncultured bacterium. RNAcentral's name for it is "bacterial SSU rRNA". It matches the Rfam family "Bacterial small subunit ribosomal RNA", at positions 338 to 916 of the family's 1533-position model. The record is from RNAcentral.